RNAcentral lists this ribosomal RNA (558 nucleotides) under Serratia marcescens. RNAcentral describes it as "bacterial SSU rRNA". It matches the Rfam family "Bacterial small subunit ribosomal RNA", at positions 63 to 610 of the family's 1533-position model. Lineage: Bacteria; Pseudomonadati; Pseudomonadota; Gammaproteobacteria; Enterobacterales; Yersiniaceae. The record is from RNAcentral.
CGAGCGGUAGCACAGGGGAGCUUGCUCCCCGGGUGACGAGCGGCGGACGGGUGAGUAAUGUCUGGGAAACUGCCUGAUGGAGGGGGAUAACUACUGGAAACGGUAGCUAAUACCGCAUAACGUCGCAAGACCAAAGAGGGGGACCUUCGGGCCUCUUGCCAUCAGAUGUGCCCAGAUGGGAUUAGCUAGUAGGUGGGGUAAUGGCUCACCUAGGCGACGAUCCCUAGCUGGUCUGAGAGGAUGACCAGCCACACUGGAACUGAGACACGGUCCAGACUCCUACGGGAGGCAGCAGUGGGGAAUAUUGCACAAUGGGCGCAAGCCUGAUGCAGCCAUGCCGCGUGUGUGAAGAAGGCCUUCGGGUUGUAAAGCACUUUCAGCGAGGAGGAAGGUGGUGAGCUUAAUACGCUCAUCAAUUGACGUUACUCGCAGAAGAAGCACCGGCUAACUCCGUGCCAGCAGCCGCGGUAAUACGGAGGGUGCAAGCGUUAAUCGGAAUUACUGGGCGUAAAGCGCACGCAGGCGGUUUGUUAAGUCAGAUGUGAAAUCCCCGGGCUC